ACUACGGGUGGCAGCAGUGAGGAAUAUUGGUCAAUGGGAGGAAUCCUGAACCAGCCAUGCCGCGUGCAGGACGACGGCUCUACGAGUUGUAAACUGCUUUUGUACCGGGGUAAAAUGCCUUACGUGUAGGGUUUUGAAAGUACGGUACGAAUAAGGAUCGGCCAACUCCGGGCCAGCAGCCGCGGUAAUACGGAGGAUCCGAGCGGUAUCCGGAUUCAUGGGGUGUAAGGGAGGGUAAGUUUUUUUUUAAGGUAGCGGUGAAAGAACCAUGCUCAACAUCGGGGCUGCCGCUAAUACUAUAGGACUAGAGAUCGGAUGCAGCAGGCGGAAUGUGUAGUGUAGCGGUGAAAUGCAUAGAUAUUACACAGAACACCGAUUGCGAAGGCAGCUUGCUAGGCCGGAUCUGACACUGAUGCACGAAAGCGUGGGGAUCGAACAGGAUUAGAUACCCCAGUAGUC
Molecule: ribosomal RNA, 459 nt
Filed under: uncultured bacterium
Lineage: Bacteria
Description: partial 16S ribosomal RNA
Rfam family: Bacterial small subunit ribosomal RNA
Source: RNAcentral